Drosophila yakuba is the source of this 9155-nucleotide RNA transcript. It is a transcript of the gene named plexin-A2, with no coding region annotated. The record is from RefSeq and is a predicted model, not a curated record. Lineage: Eukaryota; Metazoa; Arthropoda; Insecta; Diptera; Drosophilidae. The transcript is spliced from 12 exons.
UCGCAUCUGCUUUAUAGUAUCGAUAACAUUUACAUACAAUAAUGAGUAAAUUAAAGUGUAGUGUAAUUCAAAAAUAGAAAGGAAUUAUGUCCAGUGACUUACGAUGUAAAGAACUAAUAUUUUAUGAGUGAUUUAUUGGAAAACAAAUAGUUUACAUAAUGGUCGUACAAGUAAAUAAACUAUAAAUAAUUUUUUACCUGCUCCAAGUAAAAUUAUUUUGAGUGGAACGGAUAAUAAAAAUUGCAGGAAUGACAGCAAUUCAAAGGAAAUUUUAAUAUUUACGUAAAUUUUGAAUUAAAUAAGGGAUAUACAAGCGACUACAACUAACCAUUGAAUAAUAAGGUGGAUUUGAUCGCCCAGUUGAAGGAGCGAUUGUGGAGAUGAAUUUUGUUCUUAGUGUGUUGUUAAUAGCAAUUCUUAAAGAUAAAUAUGAACACUGGCUGCCAUCAAGGGCAGGUUGUCAAACCCUGGCAGCAAAUGUAUGGUCUGACAAAACGACUGUGCAAAAUGAGCCCAUAAAUUUGACUAAUGCAAAUGCGCCGAUAAAGAAUGAAAAGAAUCUAAGUUCUACCAUUACAAACGUAGCUACGUUUGACACUAAAUUAAAUCACCUGUUAGUGGACACCAUUACUGGACGAGUCUUUGUUGGUGGUGUUAACAGGUUGUAUCAAUUGUCGCCUGAUUUGGAGCUUUCCGAAACUGUAAAAACGGGGCCUCAAAAUGAUUCCGUAGAGUGUAGCAUCCUUGAUUGUCCAUUAAAUGCCGUUCGCAGUCCGACGGACAAUUAUAAUAAGGUCUUGCUCAUUGAUCGUGCAACUUCUAGACUUAUUGCAUGCGGAUCACUAUUCCAGGGUACAUGCACAGUUCGUAAUCUUCAAAAUGUCAGCAUAAUUGAGCAUGAAGUUCCUGAUGCUGUUGUGGCAAAUGAUGCAAACUCCUCAACGGUAGCAUUUAUAGCGCCGGGACCUCCCCAACACCCGGUGACAAAUGUGAUGUACGUCGGAGUUACUUACACAAAUAAUUCACCGUACCGAAGUGAAAUACCAGCAGUUGCAUCCCGCUCCCUUGAAAAGACGAAAAUGUUUCAGAUUGCUUCUUCGGCAGUUACAACUGGAACGAGAACUUUUAUAAAUUCAUACGCACGCGAAACAUAUUUUGUAAACUAUGUUUAUGGAUUCAGUUCUGAGCGAUUUUCUUAUUUUCUGACAACCCAAUUAAAGCACAGUCACCACUCUUCUCCUAAAGAGUACAUAACGAAACUCGUACGAAUAUGCCAGGAAGACUCAAACUAUUAUUCUUAUACUGAAAUACCAGUGGAAUGUAUAAGUGAUGUUCAAGGCGGUACUAAAUUCAACUUAGUUCAGGCUGGAUAUUUAGGAAAACCUAGCUCAGACCUGGCUCAAAGCCUAGGUAUAUCUAUUCAGGAUGAUGUCCUCUUUGCUGUUUUUUCAAAAGGAGAUGGGAACACACCAACGAACAAUUCAGCACUUUGCAUUUACUCAUUAAAAUCUAUUCGUCGUAAAUUUAUGCAAAACAUAAAAUCCUGUUUUAACGGGAAUGGGAUGAGAGGCCUGGACUUUAUAUCUCCCAGCAUGCCAUGUGUGCUUACGAAACUUCAAACCAUUGGAGAGGACUUCUGUGGACUAGAUGUCAACUCACCUUUAGGAGGAGAAAACCCCAUUACUUCAGUACCGGUGGCCAUGUUUAACACCAAGUUAACUUCAGUUGCUGCUACAAGUACAAGCGGGUAUACCGUUGUCUUCGCGGGGACCAGCGAUGGAUUCCUUAAGAAAGUUGUAAUCGAGUCUUCAUCUGUUGCCAACGAGUAUGCUAGUUUUUCUGUGGACUUAGGGUCUGAAAUUAAUCGGGAUAUGCAGUUUGACAACCAAAACCUUUAUAUGUAUGUCAUGUCCAAAACAAAAGUAUCCAAGGUUAAAGUAUUUGAUUGCUCUGAUUACAAGACAUGUGGAGAUUGCUUGGGUGCUAGAGAUCCAUAUUGUGGCUGGUGCUCUUUGGAAAACAAAUGUAGCCCACGUUCCAAUUGUCAGGACGACGCUAACGAUCCUCUGUAUUGGGUCAGCUAUAAAACAGGAAAGUGCACAAUAAUAACAAGUGUUGUGCCACACCAGCUACAACGUACUACAGCUCGAACUUUAGAGCUCAUCAUAGAUCAUUUGCCUCAACUAAAAGAGAAUUUAAUUUGUGCUUUUACUACAGAGGAUAAAGCCCUUUUUACUAAUGCUACAAAAAAACGAAAUGGGGUAAACUGCACGACACCGCGAACGGAUAUGCUACCACAAAUUGAACAGGGAAAACAUCACUUUACUGCCAAACUAUCUGUGCGGACUAGAAAUGGACCAGACUUAGUGUCCACGGAUUUUACUUUUUUUGAUUGCAGUACACACUCAUCAUGUACACGUUGUGUGUCCUCGGAGUUUCCAUGUGAUUGGUGUGUUGAAGCUCACAGAUGCACACACGACACAGCUGAAAAUUGUCGCAACGAUAUUUUAGUAACAGGCGUUAGCCGUAUAGGUCCUAGUUACAGAUCAGGUCCUGGAUUUUGUCCAACGAUCAACGCUACCGGAGAUGGAAGUGAAGUACUUGUCGCCGGUGGUACAAGCAAAUCUAUUAAAGUAAAAGUUCAUAUUAUUGGCCAAUUUAUAGUUCAAACGAGAUUCGUUUGUCAAUUUAAUAUUGAGGGACGUGUAACGAGUUUAAACGCUCAGUUGUUAGGUGACACCAUUUACUGCGAUAGCAUGGAAUUUCAGUACACUUCUAGAUCGCCAAAUUUGACAGCAACUUUUGCUGUUAUAUGGGGUGGAUCCAAGCCACUUGACAAUCCUCAUAACAUACAUGUUGUAAUAUAUCGAUGUCGAGAAAUGGCCGAUAGCUGUGGAAUAUGUUUGGCCCUAGCUGAAAAGUAUAAUUGCGGAUGGUGUUCGUCUACUAAUACAUGCGAAGUUGAAGAACAAUGUAACAAAAACAAAGAGGGGAAAACAGAUUGGCUUAAUCGAAGUGAAAUUUGCCCAAACCCUGAGAUUCAUACAUUCGAACCAAAAACAGGUCCCUGGGAAGGGGGAACAAAUAUAACAAUACGAGGAAUUAAUUUAGGCAAAAACUAUAAUGAUAUUUAUUCAGGAGUUCGAAUAGCUGGUAUAAAUUGUAUGCCAUUUCCUCAAUUUUAUAUUGACACAAAGCAAAUAGUAUGUACUGUGGAUAGUCCUGGGGAACAGAUGUAUAGAAAUGGCAAAAUAGUCGUACAAAUAGGGGACUAUCGUGGUGAGUCUAAAGAGGACUACGAGUUCGUUGACCCGAAAAUUUUGGAUUUUAAUCCAAAGUUUGGUCCAACUUCAGGUGGAACUGAAAUACAUAUAACUGGAAAGCACUUAAAUGCCGGCUCUCGCAUACAGGCAUCCAUAAACGAUUACUUACCUUGUAAAAUACUGAGCACAGAUUCAUCUCAAGCCAUAUGUCGCACAUCUCCUUCCCCUGGUAUCAUUGAAGGAAGACUAAAAAUGUCUUUUGAUAAUGGGCCCAGAGAGUUUAAUGAUUACAAUUUUAAAUAUGUUUUGGAUCCUACAAUUGAACACGUUAGUUCUGGACCAAGUGGGCAAAUAAAAGUACCAAAGGGAAUACCAGCAGGCGGUAUUCGAAUUUCUGUAACUGGUACCCAAUUUCAAAGUAUACAAACUCCCAAUAUUUAUGUAGUGUACAAUGGAGAGAUGUAUGUAAGCCCAUGUCGGGUGCAAUCAGAUACGGAAAUGGAAUGUGCAUCACCAGUUGUUGAUGUGGACAGCAAUAUUAUUGAAGCGGAAAGGCCAAUUCUUCUUGAAUAUGGGUUCCUAAUGGAUAAUGUUUUGCGUGUUCAAAAUUUAUCUAAGAUUCAUAACAACCAUUUUGAGCUUUAUCCAAAUCCGGAGUACUUUAUAUUCGAAGAAAGAGUUAAGUACUUUAAGAGUGAAUACCUAACCAUUAAUGGUCGAAAUUUAGAUCGCGCUUGCAAAGAAAGUGAUGUAGAAGUAAAAAUAGGAAAUGGAUUUUGCAAUAUUACAUCGCUUUCAAGACAACAACUAACAUGUAGGCCCCCUUCUGAAGCAACCGCAACCAAAAGCAUCAAUGGACCUGAAGUUAUUGUUCGUAUUGGAGCUUCGCUAGAGUAUCGUAUAGGUAUACUUAGCUACGAAUCGUCUAACAUCAUUUUGGAUUGGGGAGAAAAUGUAAUUUUUGCUGUAAUAGCCACAAUUGUAAUCUUACUGCUUAUUUUUGUCGCUUUGCUUGUUGCAUAUAAAAAGAAAAGUUCGGAAUCAAACAGAGUUCUUCGAAACAUGCAAGAGCAGAUGGACAUACUGGAGUUACGCGUCGCAGCUGAAUGUAAAGAGGCGUUUGCCGAACUUCAAACCGAGAUGACUGAUCUUACAGGCGAUCUUACAUCUGGAGGAAUUCCAUUUUUAGAUUAUCGGUCAUAUGCAAUGAAGAUUCUUUUUCCCAAUCAUGAAGACCACAUUGUACUGCAAUGGGAACGUCCUGAACUUCUUCGGAAAGAAAAGGGCUUGCGCAUUUUUGGCCAACUUAUCAUGAAUAAGACCUUUUUGCUACUUUUUAUUCGAACCUUAGAGUCAAACCGAUACUUCUCAAUGCGAGAACGAGUUAAUGUGGCCUCCUUAAUAAUGGUAACUCUGCAAUCCAAACUAGAAUAUUGUACAGAUAUAUUAAAAACUUUAUUAGGGGACUUAAUUGAAAAAUGUAUAGAAGGAAAGAGUCACCCAAAGCUCUUACUACGACGAACUGAAAGUGUGGCUGAAAAAAUGUUAAGUGCUUGGUUUACAUUCCUUCUUUACAAGUUUUUAAAGGAAUGUGCUGGCGAGCCUUUAUAUAUGCUUUUCCGAGCUGUAAAGGGACAAGUAGACAAGGGUCCUGUAGAUGCUUGCACACAUGAGGCAAGAUACUCCCUAAGUGAGGAAAAACUUAUUCGACAGUCUAUUGAUUUCCGACCAAUGAACGUUUACGCAAGUAUUAUACAGCAGCCAAUAUUUUGUAACAACUUGGACAUGUUACCUUCUCACACCGAAAACGUAUCGGUUAAGGUAUUGGAUUGCGAUACAAUUGGACAAGUAAAAGAAAAAUGUUUGGAAACAAUUUAUAGAAACAUUCCAUCAAGCCAAAGACCUCGCAAGGAUGACUUAGAUUUAGAGUGGAGAACAGGAGCAACUGGUCGAGUAAUUCUGUACGAUGAGGACGUAACAUCAAAAACAGAGACCGAAUGGAAAAAACUCAACACUUUGCAGCAUUAUAAUGUUCCAGACGGAGCUGGGCUGAGCUUAGUACCAAAGCAAAGUUCGAUUUAUAACUUUAGCAUUUUGUCGGACAAAAAUGAAAAAUCGCACAAGUAUGAAACUCUUAAUAUAUCGAAAUACACCUCCUCCUCUCCGACAUUUAGCCGCGCCGGAAGUCCUCUUAACAAUGAUAUGCAUGAAAAUGGUCUGAGAUACUGGCAUCUAGUGAAACACCAUGAUAGUGAUAUGCAAAAAGAAGGGGAACGGGUUAACAAAUUGGUAUCAGAGAUUUACUUAACCAGGCUAUUGGCUACUAAAGGAACACUUCAGAAAUUUGUAGAUGAUCUCUUUGAAACAAUAUUUAGCACCGCUCACCGUGGAUCGGCACUGCCAUUAGCUAUAAAGUACAUGUUUGAUUUUCUUGACGAUCAAGCUCAGUUGCAUGGAAUAACUGAUCCAGAAGUCGUACACACUUGGAAAAGUAACAGCUUACCAUUGCGGUUUUGGGUAAAUUUAAUUAAAAAUCCUAAUUUCGUUUUUGACAUCCAUAAGUCAAACAUAGUGGAUUCCUGCCUGUCAGUAGUAGCUCAAACUUUUAUGGACUCUUGUUCAACUUCUGAUCAUCGAUUGGGUAAAGACUCCCCAAGUUCGAAACUUCUCUAUGCAAAAGAUAUACCAGAGUAUCGAAAAUGGGUAGAUCGCUAUUAUAGAGACAUUCGGGAUAUGUCCCCCAUUUCAGAUCAGGACAUGAACGCCAUGCUUGCAGAAGAGUCAAGGCUGCACACAACAGAAUUUAAUACAAAUUGUGCUUUACAUGAGCUAUACACAUAUGCUGUGAAGUACAAUGAACAGCUAACCGUUACACUAGAAGAAGAUGAAUUUUCGCAAAAGCAGCGAUUGGCCUUUAAAUUGGAGCAAGUUCACAACAUAAUGUCGGCAGAAUAAAAACUGCGCUAUCCUACCAAGAUGACAACAAAAUACAAAAAGGUACAUAUCAGAAGCAAUACGGACAGGUUUAUGGUACGAGUCAAUCAAGAAGGGACACACCAUGGUAUUUAGUACUGUUCUCGAAAUCCUUAAAGUGCUAAUCCUCAGUGCUAAACGCUGUCAAAGAGUUUAAUGCUACAGCUGCGCUUACCUUCGAUGACCACACAUUAAUCCUCUUUAACACGUGUACCACCUGACAUCGAUUUAUUGCGGUUGAACGACUGCAAGAGCAUCGAUUAUAAACGAGGAUGAGGAUGGACGAGGGCCGUGUGCCGGUGAUGAUGAUGAUGUAAAGCGUCAGCCCUAUUCAAAAACAGCAACUCAAGCAACCUCCACACCCGUAAUGCGCUGCUGGAGACGAGGUGCAGUAAAUAGAGAUUUAAACGCUGUACUGCUUCGGUUGGCCACUUUUCAGCUAUGUGUCGCCAACGCAACACAAAGAAUUAGCGAUAACUCCGUAGCAGUAUCCUUUCUGAAUAAUCAUUGCAUUUCCAUUUAACGAGCAAAUUAACAAAAUUGAUUGAUUUUACAGUAAGCUAUUUUUACCUCUUAAAUUUAUCCAUCGAUAUAGGCUUAGAUGCGCAGGUUUUAAUACCCGCUACUAGUAGAGUUGGAAAGUUCGCAACAGGUAGAAGUGUUUGACCACGUGAUCAGGAUCACUUUCAGAGCCAAGAUUUUUGAACCUAUAAUGCCUACAAAUUGACGCUAGUGUGAAGUCUCGGUAACAGUUGAUUUUUCAACUGUAUAUGUUGUUGGGCUAAAUAUCCAAUCCCAACAUAAGGUAAAUGUUGUAAGGGCACCUUUAAGAUAUUAUCUUCCUUCGUAUAAAUGAUAUUUUAUAAACCAGUGUUCCUUUCCUCACAGACCUGUUUAGUUUUAAAAUGUUUUAUCAAAAAAAAUGUUAUGCGCUUAUUGGUUAAAGUUUCGUUAAUGUUGAAUGAACUACCUUGGUUUCAAAUAUAUAAAGUAAAGUUGUGCAAGAAGUACUAAAAACAUAUCUUGUCUUGUCUUCAGUUUUUUUUAAUUUGUUGGUUUGUUGGGUAUUAAAGGUCUUAAUAGUUGGUUUUAGUGAUGAACUGUAAAUGUACUGCUAUACUAAGACAUCUUUUCAAAAUAUAUAUAAUCCAAGUAAUAAAUUAAUAAGCGAGAAUAAGCAAAUAUUAGGAAUCAGAUUCUGCACGCUCCUUUCUUAAUUUCCUGUGCACACGCACACUCUUCCCUUCCCAUUACCACUUAAUAAGGGCAAGAGCAGUUAGGUCCGAGGAUACAUAUAUACACACACUUUUAGUCCCUUGACGAACCCACGGUUACAUAUUUCCUUCGUGAUGGUGCGCAGUUAUUUAAAGUAAUAUUUCCGUAUCCGGCAAAUAAUAUGAAACGCGUGUUCCUUCUAAAGGCCUCCGCGUACCGAAGGCCGAUCAUCGUGGAAUUUCGCAGUCAAAUUUGUGAAUAUCGUAAUCGUUAGUUUGUUAUGCUAAUUUUUCUAAAAAGCGAAAGUUUCAAUUAAGUUUGUUCUACCGAUAAAAGAAUGUACUAAAAUUGAAACUUUCAUCAACGUACUUUUAUUUUAUUUAAAAUCGAAUCAUACAUAUAUAUGUAUAUGCUAUACCUUUAAAAGUACAGCCCAUAUGUAUGUACAUAUAUAUAAUCGUCCCGCCCUUUAACCGGCGAAUACGAACACAAAGAUCGUGCACAUUUAUUCAUGCACAAAUCCACACACAAUGCAUAAUUUUAAUUGUUUGCUUCAAGGGUAGCGCUCAACUCUCCUCACAACACAUCCCUAAGUAGGGGUUGGCUAAGGACUAUUCUUUUUUUCCAUUUAUCUAUGUAGGGCUCGGGUGUUUAGUGUAACGAUUUUGACCUCUUUUGUUUGUUACAAAACCUUGUCGGCAUCGGCUGUGGUUUGUAGUAGAAUCUCAUACUCUUUGUUAUCUAAGCUGUACUACAGGCCCGUCUUUCGUUCGUGAUCUUCAAUUGUUAUCUCUUUUGCUUUUUUGUUUGACCUUAAUCAGGAUAAAAUCUGUGGCUGGCGACUUUUUUAGAUAUUUCUUAGGUAAUAACAAAAACUUCAAGCUGCUGAUAUCGAGUAGUGAGGUCGAGAUUCUCGUCGAAGGCAUAGAGACCCUUUUGUUAAAGGCGACACUCAGAUGCGUCAACCAUCAGAAACCCGUUACUCAGCUACUCCUACUAGCGAACGAGAAAAUUCAUUAAUCUUUUUGGCAUAUCGAUAAAAAUUUUCCAAAAUAUAAUCAAAUUUAAAAUAAAUCAACAAAUUUUCAAAAGUGUUGGCGUUGGGGUUAUGGGUAGCUUGUGUGCGUUAGAGUAGGCGUGUCCAAAAUUUUAUGUUAACACAUUUUUUACAAUUGUGAGUGUGACCGUGUUGGGCUGUUUGGAGGCGUUGAAGUGCGCGUGGAAAAUAAUAUUUGGCAAGCGAUUGAUAUUUGAAAAGCAAAUUAAAAAAAUUAAAAUAUUUCAAAACAUUUUUCAGAACUUUGGGCGUGGCAGUUUUAAGCGGGUUAAUGCGUUAGAGUGGGCGUGCCAACAUCAGGAAACCCCUUGCGAUGCGUUUUGGAAUAUGCAUGUUUUAUCUCGAAUUUGUAUGUACAUACUAUGUAUAUACCUUAGGGAAAUAAGUAUAUGUGUAUGAUUAUUUUUACUGUUUAUGAGCCUAUAUCUUCUAUAAUCGUAGCUUUUAAUCUAUUAUUGGUAUGCAAUACUCUACUCUUGCCUUCUGUUCUUACAAUGCAAAUGCAAAAUUCUUCUUUGCUCACCGUUAUAGAAAAAUUGUGUGCUGCGAUUUUUUUUUCUUAGGAAAUAAGUAUAUGUGAACACAAAAGCUUGUGCGCAUUUGUCAAUCAGCGUGUUAUUUGGAUCGAGUAAAUUGGUGUUAAUUGA